Molecule: transfer RNA, 70 nt
Filed under: Ratabulus megacephalus
Lineage: Eukaryota; Metazoa; Chordata; Actinopteri; Perciformes; Platycephalidae
Description: tRNA-Ile
Source: RNAcentral
GGAGUUGUGCCUGAAACAAAGGGACACCUUGAUAGGGUGAACCAUGGAGGUUAAAGUCCUCCCAACUCCU